UAGCGCGGUGGUCCCACCUGACCCCAUGCCGAACUCAGAAGUGAAACGCCGUAGCGCCGAUGGUAGUGUGGGGUCUCCCCAUGCGAGAGUAGGGAA
This 96-nucleotide ribosomal RNA is filed under the name Escherichia coli O111:H8 str. CVM9602. The record is from RNAcentral. RNAcentral also lists the same sequence under 1 other name. Lineage: Bacteria; Pseudomonadati; Pseudomonadota; Gammaproteobacteria; Enterobacterales; Enterobacteriaceae.